GACGAACGCUGGCGGCGUGCCUAAUACAUGCAAGUUGAGCGAUGAAGGUUGGUGCUUGCACCAAUUUGAAGAGCAGCGAACGGGUGAGUAACGCGUGGGGAAUCUGCCUUUGAGCGGGGGACAACAUUUGGAAACGAAUGCUAAUACCGCAUAACAACUUUAAACAUAAGUUUUAAGUUUGAAAGAUGCAAUUGCAUCACUCAAAGAUGAUCCCGCGUUGUAUUAGCUAGUUGGUGAGGUAAAGGCUCACCAAGGCGAUGAUACAUAGCCGACCUGAGAGGGGGAUCGGCCACAUUGGGACUGAGACACGGCCCAAACUCCUACGGGAGGCAGCAGUAGGGAAUCUUCGGCAAUGGACGAAAGUCUGACCGAGCAACGCCGCGUGAGUGAAGAAGGUUGUCGGAUCGUAAAACUCUGUUGGUAGAGAAGAACGUUGGUGAGAGUGGAAAGCUCAUCAAGUGACGGUAACUACCCAGAAAGGGACGGCUAACUACGUG
Molecule: ribosomal RNA, 497 nt
Filed under: uncultured bacterium
Lineage: Bacteria
Description: partial 16S ribosomal RNA
Rfam family: Bacterial small subunit ribosomal RNA
Source: RNAcentral